CCUACGGGAGGCAGCAGUGAGGAAUAUUGGUCAAUGGCCGGGAGGCUGAACCAGCCAAGUCGCGUGAGGGAAGACGGCCCUACGGGUUGUAAACCUCUUUUGUCAGGGAGCAAGGUGCAGGUCGGGACCUGCUGUGAGAGUACCUGAAGAAAAAGCAUCGGCUAACUCCGUGCCAGCAGCCGCGGUAAUACGGAGGAUGCGCGCGUUAUCCGGAUUUAUUGGGUUUAAAGGGUGCGCAGGCGGAGGCACAAGUCAGCGGUAAAAUCGCGGGGCUCAACCCCGCUCCGCCGUUGAAACUGUGGCCCUUGAGUGCGCGAAGGGUAGGCGGAAUGCGUGGUGUAGCGGUGAAAUGCAUAGAUAUCACGCAGAACUCCGAUCGCGAAGGCAGCCUACCGGCGCGCAACUGACGCUCAUGCACGAAAGCGUGGGUAUCGAACAGGAUUAGAUACCCUGGUAGUC
This 459-nucleotide ribosomal RNA is filed under the name uncultured bacterium. RNAcentral describes it as "partial 16S ribosomal RNA". It matches the Rfam family "Bacterial small subunit ribosomal RNA", at positions 338 to 795 of the family's 1533-position model. The record is from RNAcentral.